Long non-coding RNA from Empidonax traillii (willow flycatcher), 254 nucleotides. RefSeq lists it as uncharacterized. The transcript has 2 exons. The record is from RefSeq and is a predicted model, not a curated record. NCBI's taxonomy places the organism in Eukaryota, Metazoa, Chordata, Aves, Passeriformes, Tyrannidae.
AGGUACUUCUGGAGAAGUGGAAUGCAUCAGUCACACAGUUCACUGUGCCCAGAUGCUGGAAUGGUUUGAGUACUACAGACGCAUAUGCAUUAUUUCUGAGCUCAUGGGACUCAGCACCUCUGAGCUGCAUUGAAAAGAACUGCUCUCUGCCAUUUAAGCUGGAUCACAUUAGACAGAUGGCACAUCAGACCCGCAGAUCUGUGAACUGUAAGUAUGUUUCCUUUUUACUUUGUUAUGUGAAUCAAAAUUUUCUU